RNAcentral lists this ribosomal RNA (493 nucleotides) under uncultured bacterium. RNAcentral describes it as "partial 16S ribosomal RNA". It matches the Rfam family "Bacterial small subunit ribosomal RNA", at positions 29 to 507 of the family's 1533-position model. The record is from RNAcentral.
ACGAACGCUGGCGGCGUGCUUAACCCAUGCACGCCGAACGGUGAAGCGCCUUCCUUUUUGGUGGGUGUGGAUGAGUGGCGAACGGGUGAGUAACACGUGAGUAACCUGCCCCCUUCUUCUGGAUAACCGCAUGAAAGUGUGGCUAAUACGGGAUAUUCUGGGUCUGUCGCAUGAUGGGUCUGGGUUAGAUAUUGUUUCGGUGGGGGAUGGGCUCGCGGCCUAUCAGGUUGUUGGUGGGGUGAUGGCCUAGCAAGGCGGUGACGGGUAGCCGGCCUGAGAGGGUGGACGGAAAGAGAGGGACAGAGGCAAGGACGAGAAUGAUAAGGGAGGCAGAAGGGGGGAAUAGUGAACAGUGGGGGAAAGACUGAUGCAGCGACGCGGCGUGAGGGAUGGAGGCCUUCGGGUUGUGAACCUCUUUCGCGAGUGAAGCAGGCCUGCCUCGUUUGUGGGUGGGUUGACGGUAGCUGGAUAAGAAGCGCCGGCUAACUACGUG